UUCCCCGUCCGUACCGAGGCCA
RNAcentral lists this microRNA (22 nucleotides) under Murid betaherpesvirus 1 (Murine cytomegalovirus). Its description in RNAcentral is "mcmv-miR-m22-1". Its record names the gene mcmv-miR-m22-1. Lineage: Duplodnaviria; Heunggongvirae; Peploviricota; Herviviricetes; Herpesvirales; Orthoherpesviridae. The record is from miRBase by way of RNAcentral.